GCUUCUGUGGCGCAAUCGGCUAGCGCGUCUGACUGUUAAUCAGGAGGUUGGUGGUUCAAGCCCACCCAGGAGC
This 73-nucleotide transfer RNA is filed under the name Tieghemiomyces parasiticus. It matches the Rfam family "tRNA". Rfam says of the family: Transfer RNA (tRNA) molecules are approximately 80 nucleotides in length. Lineage: Eukaryota; Fungi; Kickxellomycota; Dimargaritomycetes; Dimargaritales; Dimargaritaceae. The record is from Rfam by way of RNAcentral.